CGGUGCACCUGCAUCCUGACCUCCGAGGUCCUGUCCUGCACUGGGUGAAUCCUUCCCAUCCGCUGAGGGCUGCAGCAGAACCUUUCCUUGGGAGAGGCACCAAAUGCCCUUACAGCAGUGUUUGUGUGAACCUGAACAAAAAACCAACCGCUUGCAGGGGUUUGCCAGAGAUGCUCAAGUUCACACGUGCAGUGCUGUGUGCACGUGGUUAAAAGCCUGUCCCCGCACAGCGCGUGCGCAGAGUGGGUUUUGGAGGCAGAAGCCAGUGCACCACCUCGCAGUGACUGCAUCUCCACCUGGGGUGGAGGGUUGGCAUUUUGGCUACAGUCCUAGUGGCAGACUCUCGUGUUCCCAUGGAACAAGGAAUGUACAGAAAGCAUUUGGCAUUACUCGGGGUGUGACACAGCGUGCUUCAUCCCGUGUGCUCAGUGCCACCGCGCGCAGGGAAGGAUCUGCUCAGGGGAAGCUGUUCACCUUCAUCCAGCGGUACCAUGUCACCACUGAUCAGGGCCAGCCAGAAAACAAGUUCCACUUCCCGGCUCUUCCUCUUCUGGGUUGAAGGAUGAAUAGUAGAUUUGCAUAAAAUAUAAAUACAUUGUUUUGCUCCAUGUAGCCUUGUGUAUUAAAACUCCAGGAACUGCUCUUUAAAUAAAAGCUCUGUUAGCAUGA
This is a long non-coding RNA of Oxyura jamaicensis (ruddy duck), 669 nucleotides long. RefSeq lists it as uncharacterized. The transcript is spliced from 2 exons. Lineage: Eukaryota; Metazoa; Chordata; Aves; Anseriformes; Anatidae. The record is from RefSeq and is a predicted model, not a curated record.